RNAcentral lists this ribosomal RNA (3012 nucleotides) under Triticum aestivum (bread wheat). Its description in RNAcentral is "partial small subunit ribosomal RNA". The record is from RNAcentral. Lineage: Eukaryota; Viridiplantae; Streptophyta; Magnoliopsida; Poales; Poaceae.
AUGGCGGACUCGACGUCGCCGGCGGCGGCGGCCAGGCUGGAGAAGAGCUACUUCGACGUGCUGGGCAUCUGCUGCCCGUCCGAGGUGCCGCUGGUGGAGAAGCUGCUGGAGCCGCUCGCCGGCGUGCACAAGGUCACCGUCGUGGUGCCGUCCCGGACCGUCAUCGUCCUCCACGACGCCGCCGCCAUCUCCCAGGCCCAGAUCGUGAGGGCGCUGAACGGGGCGCGGCUGGAGGCGUCGGUGCGGGCCUACGGCGGCGCCGGGCAGAGCAAGGUGUCCAACAAAUGGCCCAGCCCGUACGUGCUCGUCUGCGGGGUCCUUCUGGUGGUCUCGCUCUUCGAGCACUUCUGGCGGCCGCUCAGGUGGUUCGCCGUGGCGGGUGCCGCCGCCGGCCUGCCGCCGAUCGUGCUCAGGAGCGUCGCCGCCCUCCGCCGGCGCACCAUGGACGUCAACAUACUCAUGCUCAUCGCAGUUGCUGGGGCCAUUGCUCUGAAGGACUAUCCCGAGGCCGGGUUCAUCGUCUUCCUCUUCACCAUAGCCGAAUGGCUCGAGACCAGGGCAUGCGGCAAGGCCACUGCUGGCAUGUCAUCACUAAUGAGCAUGGCACCACAAAAUGCUGUUCUAGCAGAGACUGGACAAGUGGUUGCUACCCAGGAUGUGAAGAUCAAUACAGUAAUAGCUGUCAAGGCAGGGGAAGUCGUGCCGAUCGAUGGUGUUGUUGUCGAUGGACGGAGUGAGGUCGACGAGAGCACCCUCACUGGGGAGUCCUUCCCGGUGUCCAAGCAGGCAGACUCCCAGGUCUGGGCUGGCACGCUCAACAUAGAUGGUUACAUUGCUGUGAGGACAACUGCUAUGGCCGACAACUCUGCGGUGGCCAAAAUGGCAAGGCUGGUUGAAGAAGCCCAAAACAGUCGGUCCAGUACGCAGAGGCUGAUCGACACUUGCGCCAAGUACUACACACCCGCUGUUAUUUUCAUGUCUGCAGCAGUGGCAGUGAUCCCUGUGUGUGUCAAAGCGCGCAACCUAAGACACUGGUUUGAACUGGCCCUAGUUCUCCUGGUGAGUGCUUGUCCAUGUGCUCUGGUGCUGUCGACACCCGUGGCAACCUUCUGCGCGCUGCUGAGGGCCGCGAGGACGGGGCUCCUCAUCAAAGGAGGGGAUGUGCUCGAGUCCUUGGCCAGUAUCAAAGUUGCUGCCUUCGACAAGACUGGUACAAUCACUAGGGGUGAGUUCUCUGUCGAGGAGUUUCAGACAGUUGGUGAGCGUGUUUCGAAGCAACAACUUAUUUACUGGGUUUCAAGCAUCGAGAGCAGGUCGAGCCACCCAAUGGCAUCUGCUCUUGUUGGUUAUGCUCAAUCAAACUCUGUAGAGCCAAAAUCAGAAAAUGUUGCUGAGUUUCAAAUCUAUCCUGGCGAGGGGAUUUACGGUGAGAUUGAUGGGGAGGGCGUAUAUGUUGGGAACAAAAGGAUCUUGGCAAGGGCAUCGUGUCAAACAGUUCCGGACAUAGUAGAACACAUGAAAGGAGUUACCAUCGGAUACGUGGCCUGCAACAAGGAAUUGAUUGGGGUAUUCAGCCUCUCGGAUUCUUGCCGAACUGGGUCAGCCGAGGCCAUCAAGGAGUUGAGAUCACUGGGCAUCAAGUCAGUGAUGCUUACUGGCGAUAGUACUGCCGCUGCCACACAUGCACAGAACCAGCUGGGGAACAUACUAGCUGAGGUUCAUGCUGAACUUCUGCCAGAAGACAAAGUGAGAAUUGUUGAUGAACUGAAGGCAAGAGAUGGCCCUACACUGAUGAUUGGCGACGGCAUGAAUGAUGCCCCGGCACUGGCUAAGGCUGAUGUUGGAGUCUCCAUGGGCGUGUCCGGUUCAGCCGUCGCAAUGGAGACGAGUCACAUUACUCUGAUGUCAAACGACAUCCGCAGGAUCCCAAAGGCAAUCAAGCUGGCCAGGAGGACGCACCGGACCAUCGUCGUGAACAUUGUCUUCUCGGUGACCACGAAGCUUGCAAUUGUUGGGCUUGCGUUUGCCGGGCAUCCGCUUAUUUGGGCAGCAGUCCUUGCUGAUGUUGGCACAUGCUUGCUGGUGAUCAUGUACAGCAUGCUGCUACUGAGGGAGAAAGGCAGUGGAAAGGUGGUGAAGAAAUGCUGUGCUUCUUCUCACUCAAAAAAGCAUGAGCAUAGUACGUCCCACCACCACUGCUCCAAUGAUCAUCAGCAUGACCAUGUAUCUGCAGGCAAGCAUUCUUGCCAUGAUCAUCACCAUGAGCAUGAUCACCACAAAGAGCCUAGCAACCUGCAUUCCACAGACAAGCAUGGCUGCCAUGAUCAUGGCCAUGGCCAUAGCCACUGCAAAGAGCCGAGCAGCCAGAUGGUGACAAGCAAGCAUGUUUCCCAUGGGCAUGGCCAUACCCACAACAUCUGCAGCCCUCACCCCGCUGUGAGCAAGCAUGAUUGCCAUGACCAUGAACAUAGCCACCACCAAGAACCCAACAGUUCACAUUCUGCCGAUGAGCAUGAUUGCCAUGAUCACAAGCACUGUGAAGAACCAAUCAGCUUGCUUUGUGCCACUGAGCAUGCUUGCCACGACCAUGAGCAGAACCAUGAGCAUCAUUGCUGUGAUGAAGAGCAAACAGUGCAUGUAGCAGAUACGCAUUCCUGCCAUGACCAUAAGCAUGACGACAGUGCGGCUGAUCCAGUUCCAGAGCUGUCGAUAUCUAUCGAGAGCGCAUUGCCUGAUCACCAUGAGCAGGAAAUCCAGUGCAUCAAAGAGCACAAAGAGAAAGCGUGUGGACAUCACCUGAAGGUCAAGGAUCACGUCCCGGCUCCGACAGAUUGCAGCAGGGGAAACUGUCACAGUACGGUGAGCAGCAAGGGAUGUGAAAGCAAAGGCAAAGAAGUUUGUUCAAGCUGGCCGGUUGGUCGUACCGGAAUAAUCCGCAGGUGUUGCAGGACUAGGGCGCGCAGCUGCUGCAGCCACAGCAUGUUGAAACUACCUGAGAUUAUAGUAGAGUAG